CCAGGCCCCGCCCCCGCCCCGCCCCUCCAGUCUCAGUGGACUGGUAGCUGCGGCUCCGGAGGUUCUAGCCCAGGUGAGAACAAACGCGGGCCUGGCCUGGGCUCCGAGGGGUUCCACGCGGGCUGGGCGCCGCCGAACAGCCCCGGCCCGACCCUCCCUACCCCGCUCCCAUCUGCAGCCCCGGGCGGCCCACAGGCAAAGCCAGGACUUGUCCGGGACGUUGCUGGAGAGAUGCGAGCGAGCGUCCGGUGAGCCGCCAGCCCGCUCGGGACAACGCGCUCGCUCGAGUCCGCGGCAGCCCCCGGGGAGACAGGAGGCGCGGGACGCUGAGUGACCAGCCCUGGAGACACGUGCGCUGAGAGUGACACCCUGCGCGCCGUUUACCCAAACCUGUCGUGUUCUCAGCCAACAUUUUACGGAUGGAGAGGACUCCGAGGCCGCGGUCCUCCCAGACACAGCUGGACACGGCUGGAGCCGCAACUGAUAGCUGGGACCUGUCUAGGCUCUCCGGAGUGCUGUGGGUCUGGACUCCUAAGACUAUGCAGGACACUGGACCCUGCAUCCUGGGACCCUCCCGAUGCACACCACAAAGCCAGGCGUACAAAUCUGGCUGCCACCAGGGGCCAAACUGGGGCUCGCUGGGAGGGUUUGGAGGAGACUGGCCUCGAGAUCGAGGAUGGUGAUGGUGCUGUCUGCACCUCCUGAACAUUCAUGCAGGCCCUGGCCAGCACCCGCAGAACAGACCCAGCUCACUCCUUUUUACAGAAGAGACAGAGGUCUGCAGGGUUCAAGCUCACUGCCUGGUCUCUGUGCAGGUGAGAGGCAGGCACAUCCCUGCCUGCCAUCGAUCCUUUGCUCCUCACACAUUAUCAGGCCAGUCUUCCCCAUCUUCUCACUGACAAUCACACCAAAAGUUCAGAAGAAGCUUGGAAACAAAGGUGCAUCCAUAGCUUCAGCACACCAGGAGGCUUCUGCACAGGCUAGCAAGAAGCUGAGCAGAGACAGUCAGGCACUGUAUGGCUGUCACUUACAUGUGAAAAGCAAAAAUGGAAACGCGGUGAAGGACAGGGAAGCCUGGUGUGCUGCAGUCCAUGGGGUCGAAAAGGGUCAGACACGACUGAGCAACUGAACAACAGUAGAAAAAGAGAUGAGGUGAGGGGGCAGGAUUGCAGGAGGGUGAUCGAAAGGGACAGACUUCCAGGUAAUGAUAAAUAACUAGGGAUGUUAUGUUGCUGUUGUUCAGUUACUAAGUCAUGUCUGACUCUUUGUGACCCCAUGAAUUGCAGCACCCCAGUCUUCCCUGUCUUUCACUGUCUCCCGGAGUUUGCUCAAGCUCAUGUCCAUUGAGUCGGUGAUGUAACAUACAGCAUGAUAAAUAUAAUUAAUGCUGCUGUGUGUUUUCUAUGGAAGUCAUUAAGAGACUAGAACCUAAGAGUUCUUAUCACAAAAACCUUUUUUUUCCCUCCUUUUGCUUUUAUUGUAUCCAUAUGAGAUACACACUAAACAUCGCAGUAAUCACUUUACAACAUGUGUAAAUCAAACCAUUAUGUUGUACACCUUAUGCAAUGACAUGUGUCAAUUAUGUCUCAGUAAGACUGGAGAAAAAUAAAGAAACUGGAGAACAGUCAAGAUGCUGUCUUACAGCCUGAGUCAGAUCAUGUCGCUUCUCUGAACACUGAGCGCCUCCCGCCUCCCACCGUCUGCAGUGCCCUGCAGGGUUGGCCUCCAUCCUGACCCCGACCUUUGCUGCUCUCGUCUCACCCUUGCUGACAUCACUGCAGCCACACUGGCCCCCCGUGGCUCCACAGACAUUCCAGAUACGAUCCCACCUCAGGGCCUUUGCAUUUGCUGUUCCUGCUGCCUGUAUUUUCUAGAAUGAAUUUAUAUUACUUCUAUAACCAGAAAAAAAUACGGUUCUGCUGUAGGGUGAUGGCCAAAAAUUCCUCCAGUUCUUAAGUAAAAGUAGAAGACACAUUGUUUUCAUUUUCACCAAGGACUUUAUUGAACAAUAUAUUCACCAUUUUGUCCCACUGCCUUCCGCCAUUUUUCAGACAGCUUCAUAAUUCCAUCUUCCUAAAACUUUUUAUCUUUUUGAGCAAAGAACUGUUCCAGGUGCCUCUUACAAUCUUCCAGGCAAUUGAAAUCUUUUUCCAUUAUGAGAAUUUUGUAAAGACGGAAUAGAUGGACAUCCAAAGGUGCGAUGGCUGGUGAGUACGGAGGAUGAAUCAGAACUUCCCAACAGAGCUGUAACAGUUUUUGACUGGUCGUCAAAAAAGCAUGGGCUCUUGGUUAUCCUGAGGGAAGAUUGCGCAUCUUCUCUCGGCCAGCUCUGGAGGUUUUUCAUCAAGUGCUGCUUUCAGCUGGUCUAACUGGGACUGGUGCUUGUUGGAAUUAAUUGCUUGGUUUUCUGGAAGGCCCUCAUAACAGAGGACUCCCCUCCAAUCCCACCACAUACACGACACGCCUUCUCAGAUGAAGACCGGCGUUGCUGUGUUUGGUGGUGGUUCAUCCCACCUGCCCCCACGAUCUCUUCUGCUCCACAAUAUUGUAUAGCAUCCACUUUUAUCACCCAUCACAGUUUAAAAAUGGAACAUUUUCAAUAUGUUUUGAGUAGAGAAUCACAUGAAGAAAUACGGUCAAGAAGGUUUUUGCUCACCUUGUGUGGAACCCAGACAUCAGUGUGAGAAUGUCACCCAGCUGGUGCAGAUGAUUUUCAGUGCUUGAUGUGGAUAUUUUGAGUAUGGCAGUGUCUCCUGUGUGGUAUGAUGUUGAUUGUUCUCUAUUAAUAUCUUGAUUGGAUUCCUAUCAGCUUUAGCUGGUCUACACGAUGUGGAGCAUUGUCCAGCGAGAAGCCUCCACCACGAGCUUUGCAGACUGCCUUUGACACGUUCCAUCAGUUACAGCACCACCCCCACACUCUGCACAAAUCAGUUUUUGCAUUUCAGUUCCAUUUUUACCUUUCAUGAAAUAACAAAGUAUAGUAUGCCAAAAAUGUUGCUUUUUUUCUUCCAUCUUUGAUAUUAAAAUAGCUACACAAAAAUGUACAAAUUUUGAUGUUUUUUAAUGCAUGCUGGUAUGACAGCCGUCACCACAACCCAUCAGAAUCGCUUCGAAUGAAAUCAGAGACCAUGGAGCCCCACUAGAGCCAUCUCACAGGAAAGCAAAUGGCCAUUUUGGUCAGCCCAGUAUGUCUGAUUGUGCGAUUUAGUGCGUUAUUUUUGAAAUGGCUUUUUAAAGUUGUAUAAAAAUUACUGUUCUCACUGCCCAAAAUAUCAGAAAGUACAAACAAGUAUAAAAAAAGAAAGGACAUUCACAAUCACACCAUUGUUAACAUUUCUUGCUAUAUUACAAAAACGGAAAAUUGAAUUGCUUUGGAGCCUUUUUUUAAAAUGUGACUAAAAGUGCAUGGUGUAAAAUUGCCAUCAGAGCCAUUCAGAUGUGCAGUCUGUGGUGCGAAGUGUGUUCACAUUGUGGGGCAAACAUCAGUACCAUCUAUUUUCAAAGUUUUACUUCUUUCCAAACUGAAACUCUGCCCACAUUGCACCCUGGCUCCGCCUCCUGCCCUCAGCCCCCUGGAAGCCACCAUGGCAUGAACCUGACUGCUUCAGGCCCCUCGUGGGAAGGGAACGACACAGUACCUCUCAUUUAGUGACUGGCUCACCUCACUAGGCAUAAUACCCUUAAGGUUCAUCCAUGUCGUCACGUGUGUCAGAAUUUCCUUCCUCAUCACAGGUGUAUAAUAUUUCAUUGUGUGUAUAGGUCACAUUGUUGUUCUAUUUGUCCAUCA
This is a long non-coding RNA of Cervus elaphus (red deer), 3787 nucleotides long. RefSeq lists it as uncharacterized. NCBI's taxonomy places the organism in Eukaryota, Metazoa, Chordata, Mammalia, Artiodactyla, Cervidae. The transcript has 3 exons. The record is from RefSeq and is a predicted model, not a curated record.